AGUGAACGCUGGCGGCGUGCCGUAACACAUGCAAGUCGAACGGAAAUACAGAAGGAAGUUUCGGAUGGAAUUUGUAAUUUAGUGGCGGACGGGUGAGUAACAACGUGGGUAACCUGCCCUGUACCGGGGGAUAACAGUUGGAAACGGCUGUUAAUACCGCAUAAGCGCACAGCUCCGCAUGGAGCAGUGUGAAAAACUCCGGUGGUACAGGAUGGACCCGCGUCUGAUUAGCUUGUUGGCGGGGUAACGGCCCACCAAGGCGACGAUCAGUAGCCGGCCUGAGAGGGUGAACGGCCACAUUGGGACUGAGACACGGCCCAGACUCCUACGGGAGGCAGCAGUGGGGAAUAUUGCACAAUGGAGGAAACUCUGAUGCAGCGACGCCCGCGUGAGCGAUGAAGUAUUUCGGUAUGUAAAGCUCUAUCAGCAGGGAAGAUAAUGACGGUACCUGACUAAGAAGCCCCGGCUAACUACGUGCCAGCAGCUGC
This 488-nucleotide ribosomal RNA is filed under the name uncultured bacterium. RNAcentral describes it as "bacterial SSU rRNA". It matches the Rfam family "Bacterial small subunit ribosomal RNA", at positions 29 to 518 of the family's 1533-position model. The record is from RNAcentral.